GAAAGUAAACAAGGGCGCAUGGAGGAUGCCUAGGCUCUCGGAGGCGAAGAAGGACGUGAUAAGCUGCGAAAAGUUACGGUAAGGCGCAAAUAGCCCUAGACCCGUAAAUAUCCGAAUGGGGCAACCCGGCCAGCAAUGGUCAUACCGCCAAGCGGUAAGCCAACGCGGGGAACUGAAACAUCUAAGUACCCGCAGGAAAAGAAAAUAACAAUGAUUCCGCCAGUAGUGGCGAGCGAACGCGGAACAGCCCAAACCACUCGUGUUACGGCACGAGUGGGGUAGAAGGAUCCACGAUACGGCAAGAAAUAAGUUAGCAGAAUACGAUGGAAAUCGUAGCCAAAGACGGUGACAGCCCAGUACGCGAAAACCGACAGAAGCCCAGUGGACACCUGAGUAACCCAGGACACGAGAAAUCCGGGGCGAAUCAGCGGGGCCCAUCCCGUAAGGCUAAAUACUCCCGAGAGACCGAUAGCGAACCAGUACUGUGAAGGAAAGGUGAAAAGCACUUCGAACAGAAGAGUGAAAUAGUCCCUGAAACCGUGCGCCUACAAGCGGUCGGAGCUGCGUAAGCAGUGACGGCGUGCCUUUUGCAUAAUGAACCUACGAGUUACUUUUUCCGGCAAGGUUAAGCAUCUUGAGAUGUGGAUCCGAAGCGAAAGCGAGUCUGAACAGGGCGGAUAGUCGGAAGGAGUAGACGCGAAACCAAGUGAUCUACCCUUGGGCAGGUUGAAGGUUAGGUAACACUAACUGGAGGACCGAACCGAUAAGCGUUGAAAAGCUUCCGGAUGAACUGAGGGUGGGGGUGAAAGGCUAAUCAAACUUGGAGAUAGCUCGUACUCCCCGAAAUGCAUUUAGGUGCAGCCUUGGGAAUUACUACUGUGAGGUAGAGCGACUGAUAAGAUGCGAGGGCUUCACCGCCUAUCAAGUCUUGAUAAACUCCGAAUGCGCAGUAGUUCGAUCCCAGGAGUGAGGGCAUGGGUGCUAAGGUCCAUGUCCUAAAGGAGAAGAAUCCAGACCAUCAGCUAAGGUCCCGAAAUAAACACUAAGUUGAACUAACGAAGUCAGAUUGCUAAGACAGCUAGGAUGUUGGCUUGGAAGCAGCCAUUCAUUUAAAGAGUGCGUAACAGCUCACUAGUCGAGGAGUUUGGCGUGGAUAAUAAUCGGGCAUCAAGCAAUUUACCGAAGCUAUGGGAUCAGUAAUGAUCGGUAGGGGAGCAUUCCACUCUGCGUCGAAGGUGAAGCGUGAGCUUUGCUGGAGCGUGUGGAAAAGCAAAUGUAGGUAUAAGUAACGAUAAAGGGGGUGAGAAACCCCCUCGCCGAAAGACUAAGGUUUCCUGAUCAACGCUAAUCGGAUCAGGGUUAGUCGGGUCCUAAGGCUCAGCCGAACGGUGAGGCCGAUGGCAGAACAGGUUAAUAUUCCUGUACUACCUUAAGGAGUGACGUGGAGACGGAGGAGUGACAGCGCCGCGGACUGACGGAAUAGUCCGUUGAAGGGUGUAGAUGUUGAUUAUCCCAGGCAAAUCCAGGAUAAGAGUCGAACCUGAUAGUAUACCAAAUUCUUCGGAAUAAGGUAAUAGUGCGUGUAAGCAUACUCCCAAGAAAAUCCGCUAAACUUAAUCUUUAAGGUACCCGUACCGCAAACGGACACACGUAGUCGGGUUGAAUAUACUAAGGCGCUUGAGUGAUUCACGGUUAAGGAACUAGGCAAAUUGACCCUGUAACUUCGGGAUAAAGGGUCCCAACGAGAGUUGGGCGCAGAGAAUAGGUCCAGGCAACUGUUUAACAAAAACACAGGGCUGUGCGAAAUUUCAAGAUGAAGUAUACAGCCUGACACCUGCCCGGUGCCGGAAGGUUAAGAGGAGAGCUAAUCGCAAGAGAAGGCUUGAAUUGAAGCCCCGGUAAACGGCGGCCGUAACUAUAACGGUCCUAAGGUAGCGAAAUUCCUUGUCGGGU
This 1953-nucleotide ribosomal RNA is filed under the name human gut metagenome. RNAcentral describes it as "bacterial LSU rRNA". It matches the Rfam family "Bacterial large subunit ribosomal RNA", at positions 1 to 1977 of the family's 2925-position model. The record is from RNAcentral.